Molecule: ribosomal RNA, 253 nt
Filed under: uncultured bacterium
Lineage: Bacteria
Description: partial 16S ribosomal RNA
Rfam family: Bacterial small subunit ribosomal RNA
Source: RNAcentral
UACGUAGGGGGCAAGCGUUGUCCGGAAUCAUUGGGCGUAAAGCGCGUGUAGGCGGCUUGGUAAGUCCGCUCUGAAAGCCCGGGGCUCAACCCCGGGAGGCGGGUGGAUACUGUCAAGCUCGAGUCCGGAAGAGGCGAGUGGAAUUCCUGGUGUAGCGGUGAAAUGCGCAGAUAUCUGGAGGAACACCGGUGGCGAAGGCGGCAUCCUGGACCGGCAUUGACGCUGAGGCGCGAAAGCCAGGGGAGCAAACGGG